Non-coding RNA from Pangasius djambal, 72 nucleotides. The record is from the annotation of a GenBank genome assembly. Lineage: Eukaryota; Metazoa; Chordata; Actinopteri; Siluriformes; Pangasiidae.
UCCCUGGAGGACUAGUGGUUAGGCCUCGGCGCUCUCACCAGAGCGGCCCGAGUUUGAUUCCCGGCCAGGGAA